GUUUUAUAAAAGCACUGAAUGAUGAUGACGAGAACAUCAUUUUCCAAGUGCUUCCCAAGUGGAAGCCACUGUCAAGGAUCAGGAAGCAGCCUAUUCCCACCUUUUCAGCGAGGAGACUGCUCUUUGUGGGGAGACUGACCAGCGCACACCUCAGCUCUUUUGGUUCAUAACAUGAAUGGAGCAAGAGAGGGGAUCCUCAGCGCUGGAAACCACAGGAACGCUGGAAGCCACACGGCUCUGGGUGUGCUCCCUGCACCGCAACCUACCAUCGAGAUGAAAUAGAACGAGUGGCCCCACCCCUCGGAGCCUGGACUUCCCUCUGUGGACAUAAGAGGCCCUCUGUGACACGCGGUCAUUGCUCCAGACGUGUGAUGGCUCAUUAUGGGGUCAGGAUUGUAAAAAGAGGCAAUGCAGUGUUUGUCGCAGGCUCAAACGAGGGGUACCAGCAGGGAGAAGUCUGAGGAGACGCUCAGAGCGGUAAAGGCCUCAAGGCCCCGUGACGAAGAACUUCUGAAGGGUGACACGCUCAGUGUGGAGGAGACACGGUUCAGAGGACAAUAAAGCUGCCUUUACUUCAGAAGAGCUGUCACAUGGGAACCAGCACAGGCCUCUUCUGGGAGGCCCCGCAGCCUAGAACCACAGCUGGUAUGAGAAAUCAUAGGGAGAGAUUUCUGCUCAGAGGAAGAAGUCUCUGGCAGCCAGCAUCUUCCAAAGGUGGGAGAGGCUUGCUUGACUGGAGCGCGCUGCCCCCGGUGUGCUUAUGUCCACUGGUCAGGGGAGCCCAUAGUGAGUGGCCCUAGCAUCAGAUCAAAGACUGCUCUAGGUGGUCUCCAGGUGUUUCCUGGCCCUGCCUUUACAACUCUAAAAAGCCACGCAGCAACUCUCUCACAGUGGGAGAGCCUCCGCAGCCUCUGGGAGCUUGGGCGCAGAAGGCAGGACAGCUGGGAAGACGUCAAUCAAUCAAUCAGAACUACCAAAAACAGCAAUGCGUGCUGAAAAGUGGUCCUAAAAUCCCUUUAAUUUGUCCAGCCCUGUACAGCCUAUGAAACAUUUUCACACAGUGCCUCACCCACAACUCUGGGAGUGUUUACUGAACAGAUUCAAUGCUCCAGUCACUGUGACAAUCAGCUGGGAUGCCAAGAUGCAUAAUACACAGUCUUGCCUUCAAGGAGUUGCCGGUCAGGCUGGGAAAUACAGAAAUGUUCAAGAACGAAUCACAAAGUGUAUCAAUAGUGCAAAAAUAAAAAGACAGAAAAACCUGGGCCAGAGAAGAAAGGGCCUUCGCGGAGCUGUGCAGACACAACGCAAGAACACAUGCAACCAGCGCAAGGCAAGGCCGGCUGCGCUGCCUUAGAAUUCAGAGGAGAAGGCGCUCACCGCAGGCCGGGGCGGGCAGGGGAGGCAGCCUUGACCUCAGCCCUGAAGACCCGGCGCUCCUGGCCUCCUUCCCCGCCUCGGCAUCACCUGCUGCUGGAUUUCACCUUAAUAAUAGCUGGUAGCACGUACUGAGCACUUACAAUGUCGGGCUUUAUGAGCAUUUUCUCGUUAGUCUUCACAGAAAAUUAGAGUGUAUCCCCAGAGCCUAGAGAAAGAGUCUUUCACAGAAUGGGGACUCGAACCAUAUUGAAUGAAUGAAGGAAUGAGGAGGAGGAGCAAAACUGAGUUAGGCGUUACUAUUCACAUUUUCCAGGUCAAGAAUGUAAGGUUCAGAGAAGUGAAGUCUUGGACAGGUAUUAACCACCCGCUGAAGGAUCUAUGACUACUGGACACUUUCCAGGAGCUUCCAACAUGCUUAGACUUGUUUGUUAAAUUUGCGUGAAUAUGUGAUAUGGAUAUUCAUACAUUCACGCAAUCAUUCGUUCAUUUGUGAAUGUUAAUUAAAUGCCUCUAUGUACC
Equus caballus (horse) is the source of this 1896-nucleotide long non-coding RNA. NCBI's taxonomy places the organism in Eukaryota, Metazoa, Chordata, Mammalia, Perissodactyla, Equidae. The record is from Ensembl.